GUGGUAGCAUACUUCCCUGACAGCUUACUGUAUGAAUCAAAGUUAACCUAAUUUUUGAGAAACCACAAUUAGAUUUAUUACAUUGAAUGACGUCUGUAGCAAUGAUGAUAGGUGUUCUAACCAACGAUGUUCAUCGCCUACAGCCGACGCUCUACUACAAAGACACCAAUCAUUUGAAAUUGAUAAACUGACGAGUAUUAUAAUUUUGUCCAAAUUAUUGGUACCUUUAACAGAAUGGUAGCUCUGUGGUCCAAGAAUAUACAACCCCCAAGAAAUA
Daphnia magna is the source of this 277-nucleotide long non-coding RNA. RefSeq lists it as uncharacterized. The transcript has 2 exons. Lineage: Eukaryota; Metazoa; Arthropoda; Branchiopoda; Diplostraca; Daphniidae. The record is from RefSeq and is a predicted model, not a curated record.